AAUGUGUUGCAUUUUGUUAGGAUUGUUGAGUUCGGGUCGGAGGUGCAGCGCUGACGACGGCGGGGCGGCGGUCUGCCAAGUGCUGGUUACAGACUCAAUCGAUGCCAAAGCGGAAACGUAUACUUAGUAUAUAUCGAUUAACGAUUAUAUCACGUCGUGGGUAAUGUAGGAGUAACACGCUCGACACCUCAAUGCGCUCCGCGGCGAAGUUCGAGCGACUAAUGAUAUUGUGUACUUAUGUAUAGCUUUAUACUGAUUAAAAUUAAAAACUCCCUUAUAAUAUUGCAACAGAGCAAUCGUUUCUACUAGAUUAAAAUGACCUCUCUGAAUGUAUAAAACGAUCGCCCACAAAGUGAUUCUAGGAUACAGGUGCCACGUCGGUCGUCGAGGAGUCAGAGAGCGGAAGUACGGAGAGUAGUCGUACACCGGCCUCCCGGUGGCGCCCGCGCCGCUUCACUCUCGGGUCCACUGUAGUCUGUCGCGAAUUUUUAUAUACUCUAUCGGUACUAUCGUAGUGUAACUGAUCCUAUAUCAUGUCAUUCGCGACUUUAAUAAACUAGCUUCGCCAUUUUAUUUAAUUAUAGACCCGCACCAUUUCAUCUAUUCUUGUAUAUCGGAGUAUCCUCAUUCACUUAUCGUCUUAGUCAAAAUUAUUACUAUUGAAACGUUUUACCGUUACUUAAAAAUGUAAAAUAUAAUGCAAAAAAAAAACAGUAAGAAAAACAAGAGAAACGUGUACUUACAUUUCAUGUCAUCAGUAACGAUAAAUUUCUAAAUCGAUCAAAUACAUCUUAGUAUUACGAAAUCGAAUUUGAUUAAACUAUUUAACUUCUAAAAAUUUUAUAAAUAC
This 850-nucleotide unclassified non-coding RNA is filed under the name Melitaea cinxia (Glanville fritillary). Its description in RNAcentral is "misc RNA ENSMCXG00005000814.1". Lineage: Eukaryota; Metazoa; Arthropoda; Insecta; Lepidoptera; Nymphalidae. The record is from RNAcentral.